This is a non-coding RNA of Hordeum vulgare subsp. vulgare (domesticated barley), 115 nucleotides long. NCBI's taxonomy places the organism in Eukaryota, Viridiplantae, Streptophyta, Magnoliopsida, Poales, Poaceae. The record is from Rfam.
AAUAUACUCCCUCCAUCCGCAAUUACUUGUCGCAAAAAUGGAUGUAUCAAGAUGUAUUUUAGUUCUAGAUACAUCCAUUUUUGUGACAAGUAAUUCCGGACGGAGGGAAUAGUAU